GAUUCAAUGCAAUGCCCAACCCCAUAACUGAAAUACCAAACCCCAAUCUUGGAAACCCCAUAAAUCCUUCGUUGCUGAUGUCGUCUUCGAUUUCUACAAUGCCACAUAUUCUUUUCCAGAACAUGUCAAUGAUCAAGAAGGGGAUGCUUUUAACUUGUAAUGAACCUUAGAGCAGGGGAUAGUUCUCUCUCCCCAAUUAGAUGACGGAACUGCGACUGACACG
RNAcentral lists this long non-coding RNA (223 nucleotides) under Manihot esculenta (cassava). RNAcentral describes it as "long non-coding RNA (MESC_LNC002688)". Lineage: Eukaryota; Viridiplantae; Streptophyta; Magnoliopsida; Malpighiales; Euphorbiaceae. The record is from RNAcentral.